RNAcentral lists this ribosomal RNA (347 nucleotides) under uncultured bacterium. Its description in RNAcentral is "bacterial SSU rRNA". It matches the Rfam family "Bacterial small subunit ribosomal RNA", at positions 8 to 349 of the family's 1533-position model. The record is from RNAcentral.
AGAGUUUGAUCAUGGCUCAGGAUGAACGCUAGCUACAGGCUUAACACAUGCAAGUCGAGGGGCAGCAUGUUGGUUGCUUGCAACCAAUGAUGGCGACCGGCGCACGGGUGAGUAACGCGUAUCCAACCUACCCUUGUCCAUCGGAUAACCCGUCGAAAGGCGGCCUAACACGAUAUGCGGUUCUCAGCAGGCAUCUAACGAGAACGAAAUGUGAAGGAGAAGGAUGGGGAUGCGUCUGAUUAGCUUGUUGGCGGGGUAACGGCCACCAAGGCGACGAUCAGUAGGGGUUCUGAGAGGAAGGUCCCCACAUUGGAACUGAGACACGGUCCAAACGUCCUACGGGGAGC